Molecule: unclassified non-coding RNA, 332 nt
Filed under: soil metagenome
Description: partial contains 5.8S ribosomal RNA, internal transcribed spacer 2, and large subunit ribosomal RNA
Rfam family: 5.8S ribosomal RNA (bases 1-120)
Source: RNAcentral
GAUGAAGAACGUAGCGAAAUGCGAUAAGUAAUGUGAAUUGCAGAAUUCAGUGAAUCAUCGAAUCUUUGAACGCACAUUGCGCCCCUUGGUAUUCCGAGGGGCAUGCCUGUUCGAGCGUCAUUUAAACCUUCAAGCUAAGCUUGGUGUUGGGUGACUGUCCGCUUCACGGCGGACUCGCCUCAAAAUUAUUGGCGGCCGGUACAUUGGCUUCGAGCGCAGCAGAAACGCGAACUCGGGCCCGUCGUAUUGGCUCCCAGAAGCUAUCUUCACAAUUUUGACCUCGGAUCAGGUAGGGAUACCCGCUGAACUUAAGCAUAUCAAUAAGCGGAGGA